CUACCCUUGACAUGGACGGAGCCUGGCUGAAAGGUCGGGGUGCUCGAAAGAGAACCGUCACACAGGUGCUGCAUGGCUGUCGUCAGCUCGUGUCGUGAGAUGUUGGGUUAAGUCCCGCAACGAGCGCAACCCUUGUCCCUAGUUGCUACGCAAGAGCACUCUAGGGAGACUGCCGGUGACAAACCGGAGGAAGGUGGGGAUGACGUCAAGUCCUCAUGGCCCUUAUGGGUAGGGCUUCACACGUCAUACAAUGGUCGGAACAGAGGGCUGCCAACCCGUGAGGGGGAGCCAAUCCCAGAAAACCGAUCGUAGUCCGGAUCGCACUCUGCAACUCGAGUGCGUGAAGCUGGAAUCGCUAGUAAUCGCGGAUCAGCAUGCCGCGGUGAAUACGUUCCC
Molecule: ribosomal RNA, 396 nt
Filed under: uncultured bacterium
Lineage: Bacteria
Description: bacterial SSU rRNA
Rfam family: Bacterial small subunit ribosomal RNA
Source: RNAcentral